Long non-coding RNA from Misgurnus anguillicaudatus (oriental weatherfish), 1952 nucleotides. RefSeq lists it as uncharacterized. NCBI's taxonomy places the organism in Eukaryota, Metazoa, Chordata, Actinopteri, Cypriniformes, Cobitidae. The record is from RefSeq and is a predicted model, not a curated record.
UGCUGUAUAAUGUUAAUAUUAAAGGCAGGGUAGGCAGCUUUUGUCUAAAAACAUUUUUUCCACAUUUGUUUAAACUGUCUUUAUAAUACAUAAUUAAAAUGUAAGUACUCUGAAAAAUAGAGUAUAAAAGUCGAGUGUCUGUACACCUCUCACAACUGUUUGAAACACGGCUAAUUAUUUCCAUUCGGGACGAAACAAAUGAUAGGCUUGGGCGACUGUCACUCUGUCUCGCAACCGUUGCUACCACCCCCACUGCUACAGGAUCUGCCCACAUGCGCGCGCACUUUGAUUUAAGGAUUGCAGAGGCACGGAACCUAGGAAGAGUAUGGCAGAGAAACUCGCAGUACCUGCAUUUGCAGUCAGCGAAAGCAAACACGGCAAAAAAAUGAAGACCGUACUAGAAAAGGCAAUGAACAAAAAGUAUUUGGAUAAACAAAGAAACCAAACAAGAGUCAACAUCAACGUGGCUUUCCUGUGAUGGCGAGAACUGCGUGAUCUCAAGGGGCUGAAAAGUGACGCAAUGAUGACUUUAUUUCUGCUGGACAGGUACAGCAAGCUGUACAACAAGAAGUCCAGGAAGUGGAGAGAUUGUAUUCAUUAAAGGUGAAGAAGGACUACAGCUACAUUGCAGACCUACAGAGUGCCAUCCUUCUUCAACGGUUGUCAGCUAAUAAGGGGAUGGCUAGAAGCAGAACCAGGAGACCUCAUGAUCCCCGUCAACAUGGCGUUCUGUCUGGUGCACCUGCCCCAUCAACACAGGAGCUAUUGCAAAUUCAAGUCAGCAGAGGGUCAGGUCAAUUGCUGCCAAAACAAUAAAUCAUCUCCAUAGCUGAUGUGAUGCUACGUCCCAAGUCUGGCCCGUCAACCAGUCAAGACACCUCUGGAGACACCAUGUCUUUAUUUAUGUAUAGUGUUAUUUUGAUUGUGCUGAUGUUUUUUAUAUCUGUAUAGGUUAUAGUUUUAGUAAUAUAAAAAUAAACAAGUGACAUACUACAUUUGGUUGUCGUUAUUUUAGAAGUAAUACAUAAAUGUAGUUUUGAAAUCUAAUGUGGUUUCUGAUGCAAGUGUAAAGAAAAGUCAUUUAUCAUUUUCAGUCAAAUUAUUUAUUUAAAAAAACAAAAUGUUGUACAGAACCCCCAAAAAUAUAUAUAUUUACAUAUAGUAGACUGUAAAACACAAAAACUAUGUACAUGUAUUCAUUCACACAGUGGAUAGAACGUUCUUGAAAGCACUCAUUACAAUUACACUCUACUAGGGAUAAAACCUCUGUACUGUUGCAGUGGAUCAGGAUAACGGUCGCGUAUCUUCCAGACACAGCAACUUGGAAUCACGACUCUGUGACCCUGUCCUAGUGCUCCAUACUGCCACACUACAAAUUGCCUGUAUGGCAAUAAAUUGGCUUUAUUUCUCUUUAAGAGGACUUAUGUGCACAUUACACUUCAGAUCAUAUACCUGUUCACAUGCCCGUGUUUGAGCUUUAAGAUUCAAAACUCGACGCAGGUCCUCUUGUCCAAGACUAAGUGCUUCUUGCCCUGCACUUCGACCACCCCGUCCUCGGACCUUACUUCCGCGGACCCUGGUUGCUCGCCCUCGACCACGGACCUGUCCUCAAGCCGACGAUACGGUACUUGUCCCCGGAGUGUAGUCCUCAUCAGAGUCAACAGCAAUGCUUUCAUCGUGGAAACUCUUACAUGCCACACACCGUAUAUGUUAUGAAUCUUACACGAAAUUCACCUUCAUCACCGUGUAAAUGAUGGUAACUAAAACGUGUAUCAAUGCAACCUGUUUUUAGCAAACAUAGCUAGCUUGUUCGUUACCGAAUCAAACGAAAUAAAUGUUAAACUUUACCAGUAUCGAUAUGCUAGCUUGAUAGUGAGUACUGAAAGCCAUCCUAUUUGUUUAUAUUCAAAAAGUGAUAAAGUUAGGUUUAUUAUUACAUGUGAUUCUGGCAC